Molecule: long non-coding RNA, 1366 nt
Organism: Ornithodoros turicata
Lineage: Eukaryota; Metazoa; Arthropoda; Arachnida; Ixodida; Argasidae
Exons: 2
Source: RefSeq, a predicted model, not a curated record
GAUAUGAAGCAUUUGACGAACACGUUUUUCUGUUGUUUUACAAAUGGCGAUGACACUCUGAGACGCACUAAUCAGACCACCUCGAGACUUUCGACGAAGAAGAGCACUGUGUAGAGUUCUGUCUGUGAGAGCGUCGAUGCAGUCAGCACAGGAGAUCUUCCUUGUCACCAUCUUGACAACGUACCCCGCGAUGUACCCCACAACAUCUUCAACAAAGGCUGACAGUUGCUCUGUAUCAGGUACAUCUGCGUAGUCGUGGUCUUCAACACAUUCACUCUGUGUAGUACCAAAAUAGCGGGAUGCAUGAAUGUCAAGUUCGUCAAGGGAAGUAGCUCCUGCUGCUGCUGCUGUCACAGUCAGUAUGCGUGUGGAGUCUUGGGCGAUACAUUUACCUCGUGCUGUAGGCUCGAUUUCAUGGUGAACAAGGAGCCUCUUGUAUGCAGCCAUGAAGUGUCCUGCCGUCGGGUUGUUACACCACCCACCUUUACCCCUCAACGCACAAAAGAAAAGUUCGAGGUGGUCUUGAGAGAGUUUGUAUGUGAGCAGGUACCUUAAGAGUGCAUUAUCUCCUGAAAGAAGAUGGCUGCAUGGGCCUUGAAUGCUUGCCAUGUUGAUGAGGAAUCCAAGGAAGCCUGUUUUUCGUGGGGAUUCUAAUAUUGGCUUUCCAAAUGCAUCUUUCAGGUUGCCAAUAUACGCAGUCAUCUCGUUGAAGAAUGGAAUCCAAAGGUGGCGGGUUGGAUAACGGAUGGGUGCUUUGAAGUUCUUUGCCAGGGGAUUGCGGGAGUUCAUGAUGUCGAACAGACGAUCGAACUUCCUGAGGAAUUCCACUGUUGCCUCACAUCCAUGAAACAUUGGAUUGUUUAUGUCCCUGUCACAGAACUCCAGAGCAUCCGCCACACUUGAGCUGAGUGUCUGAGCUGCCAAAUUCACCUUCAUCUUCUGACUUCCCCAGUCAAUGUGGACAGCCUUGAGCUUGUUUCCAGCAUGAAGCCCUUCCGAUUGCUGCUGAUUUUGGAGGGAUACGAGGUAGGCCCACUUUAUUGUGCCUCCAUUGCUGUCUUUCAGGGUCCCCAUUGUUGCGAGGGCAUUACGAAUCAGCUUCAGCAUGUGGCAAGCAUCGAGGAUUACAUGAACUCUCCAGGAAGAAUCAGAAGGGUGCUGAAACCAUGGCAUGAUGUCGGGGCUUUUCAUGUUUGCACCAAGGUCUUGAAACAUGGCUGUUGAUCAGAAAGUAUGCACAUGGCACUUUCCAGUUACUGUCCAAAGCAACCACAAGGAAUACAAGAGCUUGUGUAGCUGGUUCCUGACUGUCGUCAUCAAUGCCAGUACCUAGGUUUAUGAAGCCAUUAAAGGACUGUCCUGUGAA